Molecule: ribosomal RNA, 429 nt
Filed under: Actinomycetes bacterium
Lineage: Bacteria; Bacillati; Actinomycetota; Actinomycetes
Description: Actinobacteria bacterium partial 16S ribosomal RNA
Rfam family: Bacterial small subunit ribosomal RNA
Source: RNAcentral
UAGGGAAUCUUCCGCAAUGGGCGAAAGCUUGACGGAGCAACGCCGCGUGAGUGAUGAAGGUCUUCGGAUCGUAAAACUCUGUUAUUAGGGAAGAACAAAUGUGUAAGUAACUAUGCACGUCUUGACGGUACCUAAUCAGAAAGCCACGGCUAACUACGUGCCAGCAGCCGCGGUAAUACGUAGGUGGCAAGCGUUAUCCGGAAUUAUUGGGCGUAAAGCGCGCGUAGGCGGUUUUUUAAGUCUGAUGUGAAAGCCCACGGCUCAACCGUGGGGGGUCAUUGGAAACUGGAAAACUUGAGUGCAGAAGAAGAAAGUUGAAUUCCAUGUGUAGCGGUGAAAUGCGCAGAGAUAUGGAGGAACACCAGUGGCGAAGGCGACUUUCUGGUCUGUAACUGACGCUGAUGUGCGAAAGCGUGGGGAUCAAACAGG